Porphyromonas asaccharolytica DSM 20707 is the source of this 2877-nucleotide ribosomal RNA. It matches the Rfam family "Bacterial large subunit ribosomal RNA". NCBI's taxonomy places the organism in Bacteria, Pseudomonadati, Bacteroidota, Bacteroidia, Bacteroidales, Porphyromonadaceae. The record is from Rfam.
GCGAAAAGUUAUAAGGGCAGAUGGCGGAUGCCUAGGCUCUUGGAGGCGAAGAAGGACGUGAUAAGCUGCGAAAAGCUGCGGGGAUUGGCACAUACGAAUUGAUCCGCAGAUAUCCGAAUGGGGCAACCCACUAGACUGGAGGUCUAGUAUCUCGCAAGAGAGGUCAACGAGGGGAACUGAAACAUCUCAGUACCCUCAGGAAAAGAAAACAAAAGUGAUUCCCUUAGUAGUGGCGAGCGAACGGGGAGUAGCCCAAACCGCAGAUGUUUCGGCAUCUACGGGGUUGUAGGAGUAGCACUAAUGUACUGUAAACGUGUAGAAGAACGGAUUGGAAAGUCCGACCAUAGAGGGUGACAGUCCCGUACUUGAAACAUGUUUGUAGACAGAGCUACCACCUGAGUAGCGCGGGACACGAGAAAUCCUGUGUGAAUCUGCGGGGCCCAUCCCGUAAGGCUAAAUACUUCCAAGAGACCGAUAGUGAACAAGUACCGUGAGGGAAAGGUGAAAAGAACCUCGAUAAGAGGAGUGCAAUAGACCCUGAAACCAUCUGCUUACAAGCGGUAGGAGCCCCCUGAGGGGUGACUGCGUGCCUUUUGCAUAAUGAACCUACGAGUUACCGUUGCCGGCGAGGUUAAGUACAGGUAAGUACGGAACCGGAGCGAAAGCGAGUCUGAAUAGGGCGAUUAGUCGGUAGAGGUAGACGCGAAACCAAGUGAUCUACCCUUGGUCAGGUUGAAGGAUAGGUAACACUAUCUGGAGGACCCAACCGGUAAGCGUUGAAAAGCUUUCGGAUGAACUGAGGGUAGGGGUGAAAGGCUAAUCAAACUUGGAGAUAGCUCGUACUCCCCGAAAUGCAUUUAGGUGCAGCCUUUGGUGUUUCUUGUAUGAGGUAGAGCGACUGAUUGGAUGCGAGGCUUUCACCGGCUAUCAAGUCCAGACAAACUCCGAAUGCGUACAAGUCAAAGCCAAGGAGUGAGGGCAUGGGUGCUAAGGUCCAUGUCCUAAAGGAGAACAAUCCGGACCAUCGGCUAAGGUCCCGAAAUCACCACUAAGUUGGACAAACGAAGUCAAGAUGCGAAGACAGCUAGGAUGUUGGCUUGGAAGCAGCCAUUCAUUUAAAGAGUGCGUAACAGCUCACUAGUCGAGGAUUUUGGCGUGGAUAAUAAUCGGGCAUAAGUGGUGUACCGAAGCUGUGGGAUGUGAAUACAUCGGUAGGGGAGCAUUCCUAUUGAGCAGAAGAUACAGGGGCAACCUGUGUUGGAUCGAUAGGAAAAGCAAAUGUAGGUAUAAGUAACGAUAAAGGGGGCGAGAAACCCCCUCGCCGAAAGACUAAGGAUUCCUGAUCAACGUUAAUCGGAUCAGGGUUAGUCGGGGCCUAAGGAUAAGCCUAAUGGCGAUUCCGAUGGAAGAACUGGUUAAUAUUCCAGUACUAAUAUAUUGAGUGAUGUGGAGACGGAGAAGUGACACUACUGCCGACUGACGGAAUAGUUGGUUAAAGGGUGUAGAUAGUUGGUUUGUAGGCAAAUCCGCAGACCGAGUCGAACCUGAGAGUACACUGCGUGCAUGCACAAAGUGAUAAUGUAGGUAAGCCAGCUCCCAAGAAAACCCGCUAAACAAUUGAUAUAUUACCCGUACCACAAACCGACACAGGUGGUUGGGUUGAGUAUACUAAGGCGCUCGAGAGAUUCGCGGUUAAGGAACUAGGCAAAAUGGUCCUGUAACUUCGGGAUAAAGGACGCCAGUGGCGACACUGGCCGCAGAGCAUAGGCCCAUGCGACUGUUUAACAAAAACAUAUGGCUGUGCGAAAUAGAAAUAUCAAGUAUACAGCCUGACACCUGCCCGGUGCUGGAAGGUUAAGAGGAGAUGUCAUCGCAAGAGAAGCAUUGAAUUGAAGCCCCAGUAAACGGCGGCCGUAACUAUAACGGUCCUAAGGUAGCGAAAUUCCUUGUCGGGUAAGUUCCGACCUGCACGAAUGGUGUAACGAUGUGGGCACUGUCUCAACCGCGAUCUCGGUGAAAUUGUAGUAUCGGUGAAGAUGCCGAUUACCCGCAACGGGACGAAAAGACCCCGUGAACCUUUACUAUAGCUUUACAUUGUACUUGGGUAUCAGAUGUGUAGGAUAGGCCGGAGACUGAGAGUGGGGCACGCCAGUGCUUCAGGAGUCGCUGUUGAAAUACGGCCCUUUUGAUGUUUGGGUACUAACUUGCGAAUAGCAAGGACACUGUAUGGUGGGUAGUUUGACUGGGGUGGUCGCCUCCAAAAGCGUAACGGAGGCUUCUAAAGGUACCCUCAGGCCGAUUGGUAACCGGUCGUAGAGUGUAAUGGCACAAGGGUGCUUGACUGGGAGACAAACAAGUCGCACAGGUAGGAAACUAGAGCAUAGUGAUCCGGUGGUUCCGUAUGGAAGGGCCAUCGCUCAAAGGAUAAAAGGUACUCCGGGGAUAACAGGCUGAUCGCUCCCAAGAGCUCAUAUCGACGGAGCGGUUUGGCACCUCGAUGUCGGCUCGUCACAUCCUGGGGCUGGAGAAGGUCCCAAGGGUUGGGCUGUUCGCCCAUUAAAGUGGCACGCGAGCUGGGUUCAGAACGUCGUGAGACAGUUCGGUCUCUAUCUGUUGUGGGCGUAGAGAUUUGCAGGGCUCUGACACUAGUACGAGAGGACCGUGUUGGACCGACCGCUGGUCUAUCGGUUAUGCCGCCAGGUGUAAUGCCGAGUAGCUAAGUCGGGCUAGGAUAAGUGCUGAAAGCAUCUAAGCACGAAGCCGACCCUAAGAUAAGAUCUCAUUGAGGGUGGUCAAAGACGAUGACCUUGAUAGGCUACAGGUGUAAAGACAGUAAUGUCAAAGCCGAGUAGUACUAAUUACCCGAACGAUUCGCUA